This 413-nucleotide small RNA is filed under the name Pan troglodytes (chimpanzee). RNAcentral describes it as "processed transcript". The record is from RNAcentral. Lineage: Eukaryota; Metazoa; Chordata; Mammalia; Primates; Hominidae.
AGGGGCGGAGCUGCUUUGCGGCCGGCAGCGGAGCAGUCAGCCGACUACAGAGAAGGGUAAUCGGGUGUCCCCAGCGCCGCCCGGGGCCCUGAGGGCUGGCUAGGGUCCAGGCCGGUGGGGACGGGACAGACGAACCAGCCCCGUGUAGGAAGCCCGACAAUGCCCCGCUACGGAGCGUCACUCCGCCAGAGCUGCCCCAGGUCCGGCCGGGAACAGGGACAAGACGGGACCGCCAGAGCCCCCGGACUCCUUUGGAUGGGCCUGGUACUGGCGCUGGCGCUGGCGCUGGCUCUGUCUGACUCUCGGGUUCUCUGGGCUCCGGCAGAGGCUCACCCUGUUUCUCCCCAAGGCCAUCCUGCCAGUGUACCCUGCUGUGGGUAACCAUGAAAGCACACCUGUCAAUAGCUUCCCUC